RNAcentral lists this ribosomal RNA (492 nucleotides) under uncultured bacterium. RNAcentral's name for it is "partial 16S ribosomal RNA". It matches the Rfam family "Bacterial small subunit ribosomal RNA", at positions 29 to 507 of the family's 1533-position model. The record is from RNAcentral.
AGUGAACGCUGGCGGUAGGCCUAACACAUGCAAGUCGAACGGCAGCACAGUAAGAGCUUGCUCUUACGGGUGGCGAGUGGCGGACGGGUGAGGAAUACAUCGGAAUCUACUUUUUCGUGGGGGAUAACGUAGGGAAACUUACGCUAAUACCGCAUACGACCUACGGGUGAAAGCAGGGGAUCUUCGGACCUUGCGCGAUUGAAUGGGCCGAUGUCGGAUUAGCUAGUUGGCGGGGUAAAGGCCCACCAAGGCGACGAUCCGUAGCUGGUCUGAGAGGACGAUCAGCCACACUGGAACUGAGACACGGUCCAGACUCCUACGGGAGGCAGCAGUGGGGAAUAUUGGACAAUGGGCGCAAGCCUGAUCCAGCCAUACCGCGUGGGUGAAGAAGGCCUUCGGGUUGUAAAGCCCUUUUGUUGGGAAAGAAAAGCAGCAGGUUAAUACCCCGCUGUUCUGACGGUACCCAAAGAAUAAGCACCGGCUAACUUCGUG